GAUGAACGCUGGCGGCGUGCCUAAUACAUGCAGGUCGAGCGAACAGACGAGGAGCUUGCUCCUCUGACGUUAGCGGCGGACGGGUGAGUAACACGUGGAUAACCUACCUAUAAGACUGGGAUAACUUCGGGAAACCGGAGCUAAUACCGGAUAAUAUAUUGAACCGCAUGGUUCAAUAGUGAAAGACGGUUUUGCUGUCACUUAUAGAUGGAUCCGUGCCGCAUUAGCUAGUUGGUAAGGUAACGGCUUACCAAGGCAACGAUGCGUAGCCGACCUGAGAGGGUGAUCGGCCACACUGGAACUGAGACACGGUCCAGACUCCUACGGGAGGCAGCAGUAGGGAAUCUUCCGCAAUGGGCGAAAGCCUGACGGAGCAACGCCGCGUGAGUGAUGAAGGUCUUCGGAUCGUAAAACUCUGUUAUUAGGGAAGAACAAAUGUGUAAGUAACUAUGCACGUCUUGACGGUACCUAAUCAGAAAGCCACGGCUAACUACGUG
Molecule: ribosomal RNA, 497 nt
Filed under: uncultured bacterium
Lineage: Bacteria
Description: partial 16S ribosomal RNA
Rfam family: Bacterial small subunit ribosomal RNA
Source: RNAcentral